This 806-nucleotide ribosomal RNA is filed under the name Fusarium decemcellulare. RNAcentral's name for it is "partial large subunit ribosomal RNA". It matches the Rfam family "Eukaryotic large subunit ribosomal RNA", at positions 81 to 917 of the family's 3401-position model. Lineage: Eukaryota; Fungi; Ascomycota; Sordariomycetes; Hypocreales; Nectriaceae. The record is from RNAcentral.
UAGUAACGGCGAGUGAAGCGGCAACAGCUCAAAUUUGAAAUCUGGCUCUCGGGCCCGAGUUGUAAUUUGUAGAGGAUGCUUUUGGUGCGGUGCCUUCCGAGUGCCCUGGAACGGGACGCCAUAGAGGGUGAGAGCCCCGUCUGGUUGGAUGCCAAUCCUCUGUAAAGCUCCUUCGACGAGUCGAGUAGUUUGGGAAUGCUGCUCUAAAUGGGAGGUAUAUGUCUUCUAAAGCUAAAUACCGGCCAGAGACCGAUAGCGCACAAGUAGAGUGAUCGAAAGAUGAAAAGCACUUUGAAAAGAGAGUUAAAAAGUACGUGAAAUUGUUGAAAGGGAAGCGUUUAUGACCAGACUUGGGCUUGGUUAAUCAUCCAGGGUUCUCCCUGGUGCACUUUUCCAGUCCAGGCCAGCAUCAGUUUGCUUCGGGGGAUAAAGGCUUCGGGAAUGUGGCUCUCUCCGGGGAGUGUUAUAGCCCGUUGCGUAAUACCCUGGGGCGGACUGAGGUACGCGCUUCUGCAAGGAUGCUGGCGUAAUGGUCAUCAACGACCCGUCUUGAAACACGGACCAAGGAGUCGUCUUCGUAUGCGAGUGUUCGGGUGUCAAACCCCUACGCGUAAUGAAAGUGAACGCAGGUGAGAGCUUCGGCGCAUCAUCGACCGAUCCUGAUGUUCUCGGAUGGAUUUGAGUAAGAGCAUACGGGGCCGGACCCGAAAGAAGGUGAACUAUGCUUGUAUAGGGUGAAGCCAGAGGAAACUCUGGUGGAGGCUCGCAGCGGUUCUGACGUGCAAAUCGAUCGUCAAAUAUGAGCA